RNAcentral lists this ribosomal RNA (740 nucleotides) under Bacillus sp. FJAT-4644. Its description in RNAcentral is "bacterial SSU rRNA". It matches the Rfam family "Bacterial small subunit ribosomal RNA", at positions 59 to 782 of the family's 1533-position model. The record is from RNAcentral. Lineage: Bacteria; Bacillati; Bacillota; Bacilli; Caryophanales; Bacillaceae.
CAGUCGAGCGAAUCGACGGGAGCUUGCUCCCUGAGAUUAGCGGCGGACGGGUGAGUAACACGUGGGCAACCUGCCUAUAAGACUGGGAUAACUUCGGGAAACCGGAGCUAAUACCGGAUACGUUCUUUUCUCGCAUGAGAGAAGAUGGAAAGACGGUUUACGCUGUCACUUAUAGAUGGGCCCGCGGCGCAUUAGCUAGUUGGUGAGGUAAUGGCUCACCAAGGCGACGAUGCGUAGCCGACCUGAGAGGGUGAUCGGCCACACUGGGACUGAGACACGGCCCAGACUCCUACGGGAGGCAGCAGUAGGGAAUCUUCCGCAAUGGACGAAAGUCUGACGGAGCAACGCCGCGUGAACGAAGAAGGCCUUCGGGUCGUAAAGUUCUGUUGUUAGGGAAGAACAAGUACCAGAGUAACUGCUGGUACCUUGACGGUACCUAACCAGAAAGCCACGGCUAACUACGUGCCAGCAGCCGCGGUAAUACGUAGGUGGCAAGCGUUGUCCGGAAUUAUUGGGCGUAAAGCGCGCGCAGGUGGUUCCUUAAGUCUGAUGUGAAAGCCCACGGCUCAACCGUGGAGGGUCAUUGGAAACUGGGGAACUUGAGUGCAGAAGAGGAAAGUGGAAUUCCAAGUGUAGCGGUGAAAUGCGUAGAGAUUUGGAGGAACACCAGUGGCGAAGGCGACUUUCUGGUCUGUAACUGACACUGAGGCGCGAAAGCGUGGGGAGCAAACAGGAUUAGA